This 214-nucleotide unclassified non-coding RNA is filed under the name Hevea brasiliensis (rubber tree). Lineage: Eukaryota; Viridiplantae; Streptophyta; Magnoliopsida; Malpighiales; Euphorbiaceae. The record is from RNAcentral.
GCUUGAAAUGAAAUGAGCAUUACCUUUCAAAGUGCAGCAAAACUGGGACAGAAACGAGCAGAGAUGGACAGCAAUGACCUCCACCAUGCAAAUGACGACACAGACAACAGCCGAAAAAGGUUUCAAACCCAACGCAUUAACAAUAAGAGAACUCCCUUGCUUUUUCUUGAGGUGUAUUUAGUGUGUACCGAAGUAUUUUUUGCUCAAACUUUUU